CGAAGAGUUGGUUCGGGUUCUCAUGAGGAGUUUCACUGAUAAAGUGCCGUUGGUGCGGACAAUGGAUAAGUAUGUGAGAAUAUUAAGGACUGAACAUUGUUUUUUGCUUUUUGAAGAGCUUGGCAAGCGUGACAAAUGGCUUCAGUGCCUUGAGGUGUUCAGAUGGAUGCAGAAACAACGUUGGUAUAUACCUGAUAGUGGUGUUUAUUCGAAGUUGAUAUCA
This 223-nucleotide unclassified non-coding RNA is filed under the name Hevea brasiliensis (rubber tree). Lineage: Eukaryota; Viridiplantae; Streptophyta; Magnoliopsida; Malpighiales; Euphorbiaceae. The record is from RNAcentral.